RNAcentral lists this ribosomal RNA (267 nucleotides) under uncultured bacterium. Its description in RNAcentral is "partial 16S ribosomal RNA". It matches the Rfam family "Bacterial small subunit ribosomal RNA", at positions 355 to 638 of the family's 1533-position model. The record is from RNAcentral.
UAGGGAAUAUUGCAUAAUGGGCGAAAGCCUGAUGCAGCAACGCCGCGUGUGCGAUGAAGGCCUUCGGGUUGUAAAGCACUUUUGACCCCCCCGAGGAAGGACGGUACCGGUGGAAUAAGCCUCGGCUAACUACGUGCCAGCAGCCGCGGUAAAACGUAGGAGGCGAGCGUUAUCCGGAUUUACUGGGUGUAAAGCGCGUGCAGGCGGUCAGCUAAGGUGGGUGUGAAAGCUCCUGGCUCAACUAGGAGAGGUCGCCCAAGACUGGCG